Molecule: ribosomal RNA, 684 nt
Filed under: Marinobacter alkaliphilus
Lineage: Bacteria; Pseudomonadati; Pseudomonadota; Gammaproteobacteria; Pseudomonadales; Marinobacteraceae
Description: bacterial SSU rRNA
Rfam family: Bacterial small subunit ribosomal RNA
Source: RNAcentral
CCCCGCUGACGAGCGGCGGACGGGUGAGUAAUGCUUAGGAAUCUGCCCAGUAGUGGGGGAUAGCCCGGGGAAACCCGGAUUAAUACCGCAUACGUCCUACGGGAGAAAGCAGGGGAUCUUCGGACCUUGCGCUAUUGGAUGAGCCUAAGUCGGAUUAGCUAGUUGGUGGGGUAAAGGCCUACCAAGGCGACGAUCCGUAGCUGGUCUGAGAGGAUGAUCAGCCACAUCGGGACUGAGACACGGCCCGAACUCCUACGGGAGGCAGCAGUGGGGAAUAUUGGACAAUGGGGGCAACCCUGAUCCAGCCAUGCCGCGUGUGUGAAGAAGGCUUUCGGGUUGUAAAGCACUUUCAGCGAGGAGGAAGGCCUUAAAGUUAAUACCUUUGAGGAUUGACGUUACUCGCAGAAGAAGCACCGGCUAACUCCGUGCCAGCAGCCGCGGUAAUACGGAGGGUGCAAGCGUUAAUCGGAAUUACUGGGCGUAAAGCGCGCGUAGGUGGUUAGGUAAGCGAGAUGUGAAAGCCCCGGGCUUAACCUGGGAACGGCAUUUCGAACUGUCUGACUAGAGUGUGGUAGAGGGUAGUGGAAUUUCCUGUGUAGCGGUGAAAUGCGUAGAUAUAGGAAGGAACACCAGUGGCGAAGGCGGCUACCUGGACCAACACUGACACUGAGGUGCGAAAGCGUG